Molecule: small nuclear RNA, 25 nt
Filed under: Arabidopsis thaliana (thale cress)
Lineage: Eukaryota; Viridiplantae; Streptophyta; Magnoliopsida; Brassicales; Brassicaceae
Description: snRNA_02291
Source: RNAcentral
UGCCACGAUCCACUGAGAUUCAGCC